Long non-coding RNA from Poeciliopsis prolifica (blackstripe livebearer), 850 nucleotides. RefSeq lists it as uncharacterized. The record is from RefSeq and is a predicted model, not a curated record. NCBI's taxonomy places the organism in Eukaryota, Metazoa, Chordata, Actinopteri, Cyprinodontiformes, Poeciliidae. The transcript has 3 exons.
UUUCAAAUAACUCAAUCACAUUUAUUAUUAUUGAUUUGUGGAGAAGAGCUUGGAUUAGCUUCAUGAUCCUGAGGUUCACAGAUUCAUUAGUUUCACAGAAUCACCUUUGACUUGGUCUUUUGUCAGAAAGAAAUGAUCUUUGUUGUGGUUAUAUAUACAGUAAGUUACUUUCCCUGGUCUCAGUUGAGUUUGGGUUGUGGUAAAGAUGCAGUGCACUAGAGCACUUUGUAAUUUUGUUAAGAGCUCAAUAUGAAUAAAUGAUCCUAUUCACCCUUUGUCUCAAAAUAACAAUAGAGAUUUUUAUUCAUGAGAUUCUUCUUCAGGUCUGACCUUAUACAGAAAGAAGAAGAACUUAAAUCGGAGAUUAAAAAGUAUUGUUCACAGCAGACGAGGUAUAAUUUUUGUCUAUAUCUGUUUUAGCUUUGGAUGAAGAACAUGUUUUACGAUUUAACAGGUUUUAACGCAUUAGAAUAAUCUGAAUUAGUAACUAAAAGGCAUUGCAGUGAAUAUUACUAAUCUGCAGGUCCAUGUUAAUAAGAAAUAAUGGUUGAAUAGAAGAUGAACUCUAUUUUCCACACAGCCUCAGUGCUAAAAAUAUCUCUCUGGAAGCAGAUCUUUAUGAUAUGAGGUAAAAAUUUACCUUAUUCAUCACUUUGAUGAAGCACAAAUUUUUCUUUUAUUUGAUCAAGACAGUAAUAACAUUUCUGGUUGAUUUACUGUCAUGUUUCUAAUGCAAAGAAUUUCAUCCUUUACAGAUCUGAUCUAAAACAGAAAGAAGAAGAACUGAUAUCAGCCAAUGAAAGGCUGAACAAUGAGCUCCAGACAGUGAGAUCUGCACUCAAAAAUAAAG